UACGAGGGGGGCGAGCGUUGUUCGGAAUUAUUGGGCGUAAAGGGCGCGUAGGCGGGAUGGCAAGUCAGUCGUGAAAUCUCUCGGCUCAACCGAGAAACGUCGGCUGAUACUGCCGUUCUUGAGGGAUGCAGGGGAGACUGGAAUUCCUGGUGUAGCGGUGGAAUGCGCAGAUAUCAGGAGGAACACCGGUGGCGAAGGCGGGUCUCUGGGCAGUAACUGACGCUGAGGAGCGAAAGCGUGGGGAGCGAACAGG
RNAcentral lists this ribosomal RNA (253 nucleotides) under uncultured bacterium. RNAcentral describes it as "partial 16S ribosomal RNA". It matches the Rfam family "Bacterial small subunit ribosomal RNA", at positions 524 to 776 of the family's 1533-position model. The record is from RNAcentral.